This 465-nucleotide ribosomal RNA is filed under the name Vreelandella stevensii. RNAcentral describes it as "partial 16S ribosomal RNA". It matches the Rfam family "Bacterial small subunit ribosomal RNA", at positions 338 to 795 of the family's 1533-position model. The record is from RNAcentral. Lineage: Bacteria; Pseudomonadati; Pseudomonadota; Gammaproteobacteria; Oceanospirillales; Halomonadaceae.
CCUACGGGGGGCAGCAGUGGGGAAUAUUGGACAAUGGGGGCAACCCUGAUCCAGCCAUGCCGCGUGUGUGAAGAAGGCCCUCGGGUUGUAAAGCACUUUCAGUGAGGAAGAACGCCUGGUGGUUAAUACCCAUCAGGAAAGACAUCACUCACAGAAGAAGCACCGGCUAACUCCGUGCCAGCAGCCGCGGUAAUACGGAGGGUGCGAGCGUUAAUCGGAAUUACUGGGCGUAAAGCGCGCGUAGGUGGCUUGAUAAGCCGGUUGUGAAAGCCCCGGGCUCAACCUGGGAACGGCCUCCGGAACUGUCAAGCUAGAGUGCAGGAGAGGAAGGUAGAAUUCCCGGUGUAGCGGUGAAAUGCGUAGAGAUCGGGAGGAAUACCAGUGGCGAAGGCGGCCUUCUGGACUGACACUGACACUGAGGUGCGAAAGCGUGGGUAGCAAACAGGAUUAGAUACCCUAGUAGUC